Molecule: ribosomal RNA, 253 nt
Filed under: uncultured bacterium
Lineage: Bacteria
Description: partial 16S ribosomal RNA
Rfam family: Bacterial small subunit ribosomal RNA
Source: RNAcentral
UACAGAGGGGGCAAGCGUUGUUCGGAAUUACUGGGCGUAAAGGGCGCGUAGGCGGCCCGCUAAGUCGAACGUGAAAUCCCCGGGCUCAACCCGGGAACUGCGUCCGAUACUGGCAGGCUUGAAUCCGGGAGAGGGAUGCGGAAUUCCAGGUGUAGCGGUGAAAUGCGUAGAUAUCAGGAGGAACACCGGUGGCGAAAGCGCUCAUCUGGCCCAAUACUGACGCUGAGGCGCGAAAGCUAGGGGAGCAAACGGG